AUGGAGGUGGAGCCGGGGUCCAACGUAUGGGAGGACGCCCCCGACAACAUCCUCCUCCGCGUCGCCGCCUACCUCCCCUUCCGCCUCGACCGUCUCCGCAUGUCCCUUGUCAGCCCACACUGGCGCCGUGCCUUGUGCGGGCGGGGCCAGGGGCGCCCCCCGCAGCUCCCCCUUCUGCCGCCUCUGCCGCCCGUGCUCCCGUGGCUCGUCUUCCCCAACACCGAGGAGCCUUCCCUCUUCUGCGCCAUCGACCGCAUGAGGUACCCCCUCGGCCUCUCGCGCGACGUCCGCAACGCGCGCUUCUGCGGCUCCUGUGAUGGAGGCUGGCUCGUCCUCGCGCUCGACACGCGCCCCACGCAGUACGCUCUCUACAACCUCUACUUCGGGCAGCGCAUCCCCCUCCCUGGGGGUCUCGCCAUCCCUGACGGUGCCGGGAAUGUCCCCUUGGUCUUGCGCGCCGCCACGUUCACAUCCUCGCCGACGUCUCCUGGUCCCAAUGGCUACAUGAUCGGUGCCAUCGUUCUCGUCUGCUCCAAGUGGUGCGCCGCCUUCUGGCGAGAGGGAUUACCCAACUGGAUCACGUCCGAGUCAGAUGACGUGUGGAUGAGUCGGCCGCCGCAGGACGUCAAGUUUGCCGGUGGCGCCUUCUUCUUCGUCACCGCGGACGAGAAAAUCGUCAUGUACGUUCCAACGUUCGCCGGGGACGAGAACCAGUAUGUCAUGAGGCGCUACGACUGCGACAUGCUGCAGCGCGACGGCUACGCAGACGAUCUUCAAGGCAAUGCCAAGAUAGCGCGGUACCUCGUGGACUCCAGGGGUGUCCUGCACAUGGUCCUCAGGUAUAUCUACAACAACCAAGGGACGGCUAGGUUCCGGGUCUUCAAGUACCAGGUCCUGCCGCAGGUGGCCGACGACGUGCCCCCCACUGGUACCUGGCUGAGUGUGAGCGAGUUGGAUGGCCAGAUGCUGUUCCUGGGACAAGGCUGCUCCAGAUCCAUCGAGGUCGCGCAGUUCGAGGGGUUCGAGGGCUCCACAAUCUACUUCCCGGACGACCGCUUCAUCCCCGAUCCCGAGCCGACGGUGGACAACAGGAGGUCGUACUCCUUCAUCGACAUGGGCAAGUACUCAUUGCAGGGGGAGCAGGGGGCCGUCCAGCCCUGGCCUCCGGUGGAUCGUCGCCCGGCGAGGUCCGACAAGGCUCCUCCCACUUGGUGGCUCCAUUGA
RNAcentral lists this ribosomal RNA (1224 nucleotides) under Triticum aestivum (bread wheat). Its description in RNAcentral is "partial small subunit ribosomal RNA". The record is from RNAcentral. Lineage: Eukaryota; Viridiplantae; Streptophyta; Magnoliopsida; Poales; Poaceae.